AAUGAACGCUGGCGGCGUGCCUAACACAUGCAAGUCGGAUGUGCCCGCAAGGGUGCAUGGCAGACGGGUGAGUAACGCGUGGGGAAUCUACCUUUUAGUGGGGAAUAACGCUCCGAAAGGAGUGGUAAUACCGCAUGUGACCGUUUGCUGGAAUGCGGACGGUGAAACCCUGGGACCUUCGGGCCAGGGGCUAGAAGAGGAUCCUGCGUCUGAUUAGCUAGUUGGCGGGGUAACGGCCCACCAAGGCGACGAUCAGUAGCCGGCCUCGAGAGGGUGAUCGGCCACACUGGAACUGAGACACGGUCCAGACUCCUACGGGAGGCAGCAGUGGGGAAUUUUGCGCAAUGGACGAAAGUCUGACGCAGCAACGCCGCGUGGGUGAUGAAGGUCUUCGGAUUGUAAACCCUAGUCGUCAGGGACGAAGGGUGGGGCGUGAAUAGCGUUCUACUUUGACGGUACCUGGAAAGGAAGCCCCGGCUAACUCUGUGCCAGCAGCCGCGGUAAGGUCGUCCA
This 513-nucleotide ribosomal RNA is filed under the name uncultured bacterium. Its description in RNAcentral is "bacterial SSU rRNA". It matches the Rfam family "Bacterial small subunit ribosomal RNA", at positions 28 to 529 of the family's 1533-position model. The record is from RNAcentral.